GUCUACAGCCAUAGCACCCUGAAUAUGCCCAAUCUCCUCUGAUUUUGAAAGCUAAGCAGAAUUGGGCCUGGUUAGUACUUUGAUGGGAGAUCUUCUCAUCUGAAAUUUGUCCACAUUGCAUC
RNAcentral lists this ribosomal RNA (122 nucleotides) under Octodon degus (degu). The record is from RNAcentral. Lineage: Eukaryota; Metazoa; Chordata; Mammalia; Rodentia; Octodontidae.